This 90-nucleotide transfer RNA is filed under the name Trieres regia. RNAcentral describes it as "Odontella regia tRNA-Ser". It matches the Rfam family "tRNA". From Rfam's summary of the family: Transfer RNA (tRNA) molecules are approximately 80 nucleotides in length. Their secondary structure includes four short double-helical elements and three loops (D, anti-codon, and T loops). Lineage: Eukaryota; Bacillariophyta; Thalassiosirophyceae; Eupodiscales; Parodontellaceae. The record is from RNAcentral.
GGAUAAGUGGUCGAGUGGUUUAAGGCGAUAGUUUUGAAAACUAUUGUAUGUUUUAAAAUCAUACCGUGGGUUCAAAUCCCACCUUAUCCU